UACGGAGGGGGCAAGCGUUAUUCGGAAUCAUUGGGCGUAAAGGGCGUGUAGGCGGCUUCGUGUGUCUUAUGUGAAAGCCCUCGGCUCAACCGGGGAACUGCAUGGGAAACUGCGAAGCUUGAGUCCGGGAGAGGAGAGUGGAAUUCCCAGUGUAGCGGUGAAAUGCGUAGAUAUUGGGAGGAACACCAGUGGCGAAGGCGGCUCUCUGGACCGGUACUGACGCUGAGACGCGAAAGCCAGGGGAGCAAACGGG
RNAcentral lists this ribosomal RNA (253 nucleotides) under uncultured bacterium. Its description in RNAcentral is "partial 16S ribosomal RNA". It matches the Rfam family "Bacterial small subunit ribosomal RNA", at positions 524 to 776 of the family's 1533-position model. The record is from RNAcentral.